RNAcentral lists this ribosomal RNA (1375 nucleotides) under Lobocla bifasciata. Its description in RNAcentral is "16S ribosomal RNA". The record is from RNAcentral. Lineage: Eukaryota; Metazoa; Arthropoda; Insecta; Lepidoptera; Hesperiidae.
GGGGGAAAAAUUAAUUAUUUAAAUAUAAUAAAAGAAAUUUUUAAGUAAUUAUAAUUUAAUGGGGGUUAAAGUAUAAUUAUAGAAAAAAUUUAAAAUUUUAUAGUAAAGUAGUAUUGUGAAAGAAUAAUGAAAUAAUAUGAAAAAAAAUUAUUUUUAAAGUAAAUUUAAUUUGUUGUAUCUUGUGUAUCAGAGUUUAUUAAUUUAAUUAUAUUUAGUUAAAUAAUUCUCGAAUUUAAAAGAGAUAAUUAAUUAAAAAAUUUAUUGUAGCAUAAGUAUUUUAAAUAAUUAAUUGGAAAUGAAAUGUUAUUCGUUUUUAAAAAUAUCUAGUUUUUUUAGAAAUAAAUUUAAUUUAGAAUUUUUUUUUAUUAAAAAUCAUAAAUUUUAUAAUAAAAAAAAAUUUAAUAUUUUAAGGGAUAAUCUUUAAAUUAAAUUUUUAUAAUAAUAAUUUUUAAAAUUUAAAAUUUUUAAAAUUUAUAUUGUUUAUAAAAUAAAUUUUUUUAUAAAAAAUUUUAAUUUAAAAAAAAAUUUUUAAUUAAAAUUUAAAUUUUUAUAAAAAAAUAAUUGACAAUAAUAAAAAAUUAGGUAUAAUGAUAAAAUUAGUAUAAAUUAUGUAUAUAUAUAUAUAUAUAUAUAAAUUUAAUAAAAUAAAAAUUAAUAAAAAGGAAUUCGGCAAAAAUUUAUGUUCACUUGUUUAUCAAAAACAUGUCUAUUUGGUUAUAAUUUAAAGUCAAAUCUGCCCACUGAUAAAAAAAUUAAAGGGCUGCAGUAUAUUGACUGUACAAAGGUAGCAUAAUCAAUAGUCUUUUAAUUGAAGACUUGUAUGAAAGAUUUAAUGAAAUAUAAUCUGUCUCUUUAUUAAAAUUAAAAUUUAAUUUUUUAGUAAAAAAGCUAAAAUAGAUUUAAAAGACGAGAAGACCCUAUAGAGUUUUAUAUUUAAUUUAAUAGUAUAUUUUUGUAAAUAUUUAAUAUAAAAUUAGAUUAAAUAUUUUAUUGGGGUGAUAAAAAAAUUUAAUUAACUUUUUUUAUAAAAAAACAUUAAUAAAUGAGAAAAUGAUCCAUAAUUUAUGAUUAUAAGAAAAAAUUACCUUAGGGAUAACAGCGUAAUUUUUUUUUUUAGUUCAAAUAAGAAGAAAAGUUUGCGACCUCGAUGUUGGAUUAAGAUAAAAUUUAAAUGUAGAAGUUUAAAAGUUUUGAUCUGUUCGAUCAUUAAAAUCUUACAUGAUCUGAGUUCAAACCGGUGUGAGCCAGGUUGGUUUCUAUCUUUAGAUAAUUAAAAUAUUUUAGUACGAAAGGAUUAAAUAUUUAAAAUAAAUUUUUUUAUAUUGUAUGAAUUUUAAUAAUAAAUAAAUAAUGUAUAAAUUAAUAAAUUUAUAUG